CGUGGUACAAUGCGAAGCGAAGCAGUGAUGUGAAGCAAAUCGCACCAAAGCCAGUCCCAGUUCGGAUAAGAGGCUGAAACUCGCCUCUUUGAAGUCGGAAUCGCUAGUAAUCGCAGAUCAGCAUGUUGCGGUGAAUACGUUCCCGGGUCUUGUACACACCGCCCGUCAAACCAUGAGAGUCACCAACACCCGAAGUCCGCCUUGGCGGCCUAAGGUGGGGGAGAUGAUUGGGGUUAAGUCGUAACAAGGUAUC
Molecule: ribosomal RNA, 253 nt
Filed under: uncultured bacterium
Lineage: Bacteria
Description: partial 16S ribosomal RNA
Rfam family: Bacterial small subunit ribosomal RNA
Source: RNAcentral